GACGAACGCUGGCGGCGUGCUUAACACAUGCAAGUCGAACGGAAAGGCCCUGCUUUUGUGGGGUGCUCGAGUGGCGAACGGGUGAGUAACACGUGAGUAGCCCGCCCUUGACUUUGGGAUAACUUCAGGAAACUGGGGCUCAUACCGGAUAGGAGCUCCUGCUGCAUGGUGGGGGAUGGAAAGUUUCGGCGGUUGGGGAUGGACUCGCGGCUUAUCAGCUUGUUGGUGGGGUAGUGGCUUACCAAGGCUUUGACGGGUAGCCGGCCUGAGAGGGGGACCGGCCACAUGGGGACUGAGAUACGGCCCAGACUCCUACGGGAGGCAGCAGUGGAGAAUAUUGCACAAUGGGCGGAAGCCUGAUGCAGCAACGCCGCGUGCGGGAUGACGGCCUUCGGGUUGUAAACCGCUUUCGCCGGUGACGAAGCGUGAGUGACGGUAAUGGGUAAAGAAGCACCGGCUAACUACGUG
RNAcentral lists this ribosomal RNA (468 nucleotides) under uncultured bacterium. RNAcentral describes it as "partial 16S ribosomal RNA". It matches the Rfam family "Bacterial small subunit ribosomal RNA", at positions 28 to 507 of the family's 1533-position model. The record is from RNAcentral.